UGUUAAAUGUAAGCAUGCAGAUUGUUUCGCAUCAAUAAAGAAGAGCCAUUUUAUCACUUCAGAACGACUUUAGUAUUAGGUUCAAAAUUUAAAUGUUACAGAUAAAUAACAAAUAAAUAAUUUUUUUCGAUGAAAGAAAAAUAACAAUAAUGAGACGAUACAUCGAAAUUUUACAAAUUCAACGUUGAUGCCAUUGGAUGAUCAAUAUUUUCCAUUAAUCCCAUUGCUAGGAACAUAACCUACAAAACAAUUGACUUGAAUAAAACUCUACGAUGGAAAUUCGGUAUUUUCAUUAUGCCAUUAGUUCUGGGACGUUAUUAUAAAUGAUCAGUACAACAACAAAUAAGAAUAAAUCAAUUGAUGAUGGCUUAAUUACUAUCUUUAAAUGAUUGAUGAAUAAUUGAAGAAGAAAUAUCAAGGUUCAGUCAUAUAUACAAUUAUUUUAACAAAGUAAAAUUGAAAAAAGAAGAAGAAGAAAAGAAAAGAAGUUAGUAAUUGGAAAGAAAGGAUUGUAUAAUCUUUUUAAUUAUUACAUAUUCAUUUCAACAACGUUAAUAUAGACUUAAUAUAGAAGCAAAAUAUAAUUGAUAUUUAAAUGAAUAAUUCUAUAAGUUGUGCUUAAAUAUUAUAAUGUUAUUAACUCUGAUCCAUUUAAUAUGAAAUAAUUUAUUUAAUUUUAUUUUAUAUGUAAGUGCUGUUGUUUAAAUGAAAAUUUCCAAGUUUUCAACGUCGUUGCAAAUAUUAUGAGAUAAAACAAGAAAGUCAAUGAAUAUUGAAA
This is a long non-coding RNA of Vespa mandarinia (Asian giant hornet), 778 nucleotides long. The record is from RefSeq and is a predicted model, not a curated record. NCBI's taxonomy places the organism in Eukaryota, Metazoa, Arthropoda, Insecta, Hymenoptera, Vespidae.